CAGGAGCCACCCUCUGGUUACUUUAUCCUUAAGCCAACUGCCAAAUAGCUCAAGAACAGAAAAGCUGCACCAACGUCUAUUCCGUGUGUAGAGUACUGCCCUUCAGCUGCAGCCUCCCUCUAGCAUCUUCCUGUACCAUUUUUUCCUCUGUAAACUCAGCCCAUGAACAUUCAGGUUUCAGUCCAGCUGGCAGUAAAGUUGGUGCAUGAACAACUCUCAGUCCUCCUGAUAUGCCUGGAGUUGCCUGAAGGAAGAAAGUGUCGCUGUCUGAACAGGGAGCUAGAAGGGAGGAGAGGAAACUCUUUCCCCUGA
This 312-nucleotide long non-coding RNA is filed under the name Anser brachyrhynchus (Pink-footed goose). RNAcentral's name for it is "lncRNA (ENSABRG00000002713.1)". The record is from RNAcentral. Lineage: Eukaryota; Metazoa; Chordata; Aves; Anseriformes; Anatidae.